UACAGAGGGUGCGAGCGUUAAUCGGAAUUACUGGGCGUAAAGCGUGCGUAGACGGUAGCGUAAGUCAGAUGUGAAAGCCCCGGGCUCAACCUGGGAAUUGCAUUUGAGACUGCUCUGCUCGGGUGCGGAAGAGGGAAGCGGAAUUUCCGGUGUAGCGGUGAAAUGCGUAGAUAUUGGAAGGAACACCAGUGGCGAAAGCGGCUUCCUGGUCCGACACCGACGUUCAGGCACGAAAGCGUGGGGAGCAAACAGG
Molecule: ribosomal RNA, 253 nt
Filed under: uncultured bacterium
Lineage: Bacteria
Description: partial 16S ribosomal RNA
Rfam family: Bacterial small subunit ribosomal RNA
Source: RNAcentral